This 76-nucleotide transfer RNA is filed under the name Methylobacterium sp. RNAcentral describes it as "tRNA-Arg". It matches the Rfam family "tRNA". From Rfam's summary of the family: Transfer RNA (tRNA) molecules are approximately 80 nucleotides in length. Their secondary structure includes four short double-helical elements and three loops (D, anti-codon, and T loops). Further hydrogen bonds mediate the characteristic L-shaped molecular structure. tRNAs have two regions of fundamental functional importance: the anti-codon, which is responsible for specific mRNA codon recognition, and the 3' end, to which the tRNAs corresponding amino acid is attached (by aminoacyl-tRNA synthetases). tRNAs cope with the degeneracy of the genetic code in two manners: having more than one tRNA (with a specific anti-codon) for a particular amino acid; and 'wobble' base-pairing, i.e. permitting non-standard base-pairing at the 3rd anti-codon position. Lineage: Bacteria; Pseudomonadati; Pseudomonadota; Alphaproteobacteria; Hyphomicrobiales; Methylobacteriaceae. The record is from RNAcentral. RNAcentral also lists the same sequence under 22 other names.
GGCCCCGUAGCUCAGAGGAUAGAGCACCGGCCUUCUAAGCCGAUGGUCGCAGGUUCGAAUCCUGCCGGGGUCGCCA